This 435-nucleotide ribosomal RNA is filed under the name uncultured bacterium. RNAcentral describes it as "partial 16S ribosomal RNA". It matches the Rfam family "Bacterial small subunit ribosomal RNA", at positions 29 to 507 of the family's 1533-position model. The record is from RNAcentral.
AGCGAACGCUGGCGGCAGGCUUAACACAUGCAAGUCGAGCGGGCACUUUCGGGUGUCAGCGGCGGACGGGUGAGUAACGCGUGGGAACGUGCCCUCUGGUUCGGAAUAACUCAGGGAAACUUGAGCUAAUACCGGAUACGCCCUUUUGGGGAAAGGCUUGCUGCCGGAGGAUCGGCCCGCGUCUCAUUAGCUAGUUGGUGAGGUAACGGCUCACCAAGGCGACGAUCAGUAGCUGGUCUGAGAGGAUGAUCAGCCACACUGGGACUGAGACACGGCCCAGACUCCUACGGGAGGCAGCAGUGGGGAAUAUUGGACAAUGGGCGCAAGCCUGAUCCAGCCAUGCCGCGUGAGUGAUGAAGGCCUUAGGGUUGUAAAGCUCUUUUAUCCGGGACGAUAAUGACGGUACCGGAGGAAUAAGCCCCGGCUAACUUCGUG